RNAcentral lists this ribosomal RNA (534 nucleotides) under uncultured bacterium. Its description in RNAcentral is "bacterial SSU rRNA". It matches the Rfam family "Bacterial small subunit ribosomal RNA", at positions 8 to 526 of the family's 1533-position model. The record is from RNAcentral.
AGAGUUUGAUCAUGGCUCAGAGCGAACGUUAGCGGCGGGCCUAACACAUGCAAGUCGAGCGAGAAAGGGACUUCGGCCUGAGUAAAGCGGCGGACGGGUGAGUAAUACGUAGGUAAUUUUCCCUUGAGCGAGGGACAACGUUCCGAAAGGGACGCUAAUACCGCAUAAGUUCCUGAAGGUCUCGGCCUUUGGGAGGAAAGUAGGUAGCAAUAUCCGGCACUCGAGGAGAAGCCUGCGUCGCAUCAGCUAGUUGGUGGGGUAAUGGCCUACCAAGGCGAAGACGCGUAGCUGGUCUGAGAGGAUGAUCAGCCACACUGAAACUGAGACACGGUUCAGACUCCUACGGGAGGCAGCAGUGGGGAAUAUUGGACAAUGGGCGCAAGCCUGAUCCAGCCACGCCGCGUGAGUGAUGAAGGCCUUCGGGUCGUAAAGCUCUGUGGGGAGGGACGAACCGCUGGAUGUGCAUAGCAUCCAGCAUGACGGUACCUCCUUAGCAAGCACCGGCUAACUUCGUGCCAGCAGCCGCGGUAAUAC